GACGACGCUGGCGGCGUGGAUUAGGCAUGCAAGUCGAACGGUAUCAUCCUUUCGGGGGUGAGAGAGUGGCGAACUGGUGAGUAACACGUAGGUUAUCUACCCUCAAGACGGGACAACCCAGGGAAACUUGGGCUAAUACCGGAUGUGAGCAACUUUUAGUGUUUGAAAGGUGGCGUAAGCUGUCGCUUGGGGAUGAGCCUGCGUCCUAUUAGUUAGUUGGUGAGGUAACGGCUCACCUAGGCAAUGAUAGGUAGGCGGCCUUAACGGGUGGUCGCCCACACUGGGAUUGAGAUACGGCCCAGACUCCUACGGGAGGCAGCAGUCGAGAAUAGUCUACAAUGGUCGGAAGACUGAUAGUGCGACGCCGCGUGAACGAUGAAUCCCUUCGGGGUGUAAAGUUCUUUUAUAUGUGAGCAGUGCUUCUUAUAUUAACAGUAUGGGGAGAGAGAUAUUAGCAUAUGAAUAAGCAACGGCUAACUCCGUG
Molecule: ribosomal RNA, 484 nt
Filed under: uncultured bacterium
Lineage: Bacteria
Description: bacterial SSU rRNA
Rfam family: Bacterial small subunit ribosomal RNA
Source: RNAcentral